AGCGAACGCUGGCGGCAGGCCUAACACAUGCAAGUCGAACGGGCUCUUCGGAGCUAGUGGCGGACGGGUGAGUAACACGUGGGAACGUGCCUUUAGGUUCGGAAUAAGCCCGGGCAACUGGGUCUAAUACCGGAUGUGCCCUUCGGGGGAAAGAUUUAUCGCCUUUAGAGCGGCCCGCGUCUGAUUAGCUAGUUGGUGGUGUAAUGGACCACAAAGGCGACGAUCAGUAGCUGGUCUGAGAGGAUGAUAAGCCACAUUGGGACUGGGGCACGGCCCAAACUCCUGCGGGAGGCAGCAGUGGGGAAUCUUGCGCAAUGGGCGAAAGCCUGACGCAGUCAUGCCGCGUGAAUGAUGAAGGUCUUAGGAUUGUAAAAUUCUUUCACCGGGGACGAUAAUGACGGUACCCGGAGAAGAAGCCCCGGCUAACUUCGUGCCAGCCGCCGCCGUAA
Molecule: ribosomal RNA, 449 nt
Filed under: uncultured bacterium
Lineage: Bacteria
Description: partial 16S ribosomal RNA
Rfam family: Bacterial small subunit ribosomal RNA
Source: RNAcentral